This 252-nucleotide ribosomal RNA is filed under the name uncultured Gardnerella sp. Its description in RNAcentral is "partial 16S ribosomal RNA". It matches the Rfam family "Bacterial small subunit ribosomal RNA", at positions 103 to 355 of the family's 1533-position model. Lineage: Bacteria; Bacillati; Actinomycetota; Actinomycetes; Bifidobacteriales; Bifidobacteriaceae. The record is from RNAcentral.
CGGGUGAGUAAUGCGUGACCAACCUGCCCCAUGCUCCAGAAUAGCUCUUGGAAACGGGUGGUAAUGCUGGAUGCUCCAACUUGACGCAUGUCUUGUUGGGAAAGUGUUUAGUGGCAUGGGAUGGGGUCGCGUCCUAUCAGCUUGUAGGCGGGGUAAUGGCCCACCUAGGCUUCGACGGGUAGCCGGCCUGAGAUGGCGGACGGCCACAUUGGGACUGAGAUACGGCCCAUACUCCUACGGGAGGCAGCAGCC